Molecule: transfer RNA, 74 nt
Filed under: Chryseobacterium indoltheticum
Lineage: Bacteria; Pseudomonadati; Bacteroidota; Flavobacteriia; Flavobacteriales; Weeksellaceae
Also listed under: 1 other name
Description: tRNA-Leu
Rfam family: tRNA
About the family: Transfer RNA (tRNA) molecules are approximately 80 nucleotides in length. Their secondary structure includes four short double-helical elements and three loops (D, anti-codon, and T loops). Further hydrogen bonds mediate the characteristic L-shaped molecular structure. tRNAs have two regions of fundamental functional importance: the anti-codon, which is responsible for specific mRNA codon recognition, and the 3' end, to which the tRNAs corresponding amino acid is attached (by aminoacyl-tRNA synthetases). tRNAs cope with the degeneracy of the genetic code in two manners: having more than one tRNA (with a specific anti-codon) for a particular amino acid; and 'wobble' base-pairing, i.e. permitting non-standard base-pairing at the 3rd anti-codon position.
Source: RNAcentral
GCGGGAAUGGCGGAACUGGCAGACGCACUUGAUUUAGGCUCAAGAUAUUAAGGGUUCGACUCCCUUUUCCCGUA